UUGUCUUGACAGGAAUGAAUAGCACAAC
RNAcentral lists this small RNA (28 nucleotides) under Bombyx mori (domestic silkworm). RNAcentral describes it as "ovarian small RNA-38142". Lineage: Eukaryota; Metazoa; Arthropoda; Insecta; Lepidoptera; Bombycidae. The record is from RNAcentral.